UACGUAGGGCGCAAGCGUUGUCCGGAAUUAUUGGGCGUAAAGAGCUCGUAGGCGGUUUGUCGCGUCUGCUGUGAAAACCUAAGGCUCAACCUUGGGCUUGCAGUGGGUACGGGCAGACUAGAGUGCGGUAGGGUGACUGGAAUUCCUGGUGUAGCGGUGGAAUGCGCAGAUAUCAGGAGGAACACCGAUGGCGAAGGCAGGUCACUGGGCCGCAACUGACGCUGGAGGAAGCGAAAGCAUGGGGAGCGAACAGG
RNAcentral lists this ribosomal RNA (254 nucleotides) under uncultured bacterium. Its description in RNAcentral is "partial 16S ribosomal RNA". It matches the Rfam family "Bacterial small subunit ribosomal RNA", at positions 524 to 776 of the family's 1533-position model. The record is from RNAcentral.